RNAcentral lists this microRNA precursor (102 nucleotides) under Amborella trichopoda. Its description in RNAcentral is "pre miRNA mir-166". It matches the Rfam family "mir-166 microRNA precursor family". From Rfam's summary of the family: This family represents the plant microRNA (miRNA) precursor mir-166. Animal miRNAs are transcribed as ~70nt precursors and subsequently processed by the Dicer enzyme to give a ~22nt product. Lineage: Eukaryota; Viridiplantae; Streptophyta; Magnoliopsida; Amborellales; Amborellaceae. The record is from Rfam by way of RNAcentral.
GUUGUGGGGAAUGUUGGCUGGCUCGAGGCCAUCCGAUUUAGGAAAGCCGCUUCGGUUGGCAUAGUCCCGGGUGACAUCGGACCAGGCUUCAUUCCCCUCAAA